Molecule: ribosomal RNA, 253 nt
Filed under: uncultured bacterium
Lineage: Bacteria
Description: partial 16S ribosomal RNA
Rfam family: Bacterial small subunit ribosomal RNA
Source: RNAcentral
UACAGAGGGGGCAAGCGUUGUUCGGAAUUACUGGGCGUAAAGGGCGCGUAGGCGGCCUGCUAAGUCGAACGUGAAAUCCCUGGGCUCAACCCAGGAACUGCGUCCGAUACUGGUUGGCUUGAAUCCGGGAGAGGGAUGCGGAAUUCCAGGUGUAGCGGUGAAAUGCGUAGAUAUCAGGAGGAACACCGAUGGCGAAGGCAGGUCACUGGGCCGCAACUGACGCUGAGGAGCGAAAGCAUGGGGAGCGAACAGG